GAAAUGCGAUAAGUAGUGUGAAUUGCAGAAUUCAGUGAAUCAUCGUAUCUUUGAACGCACAUUGCGCCCUUUGGUAUUCCAAAGGGCAUGCCUGUUCGAGCGUCAUUUGUACCCUCAAGCUUUGCUUGGUGUUGGGCGUCUUGUCUCUAGCUUUGCUGGAGACUCGCCUUAAAGUAAUUGGCAGCCGGCCUACUGGUUUCGGAGCGCAGCACAAGUCGCACUCUCUAUCAGCAAAGGUCUAGCAUCCAUUAAGCCUUUUUUUCAACUUUUGACCUCGGAUCAGGUAGGGAUACCCGCUGAACUUAAGA
Molecule: unclassified non-coding RNA, 308 nt
Filed under: plant metagenome
Description: partial contains 5.8S ribosomal RNA, internal transcribed spacer 2, and large subunit ribosomal RNA
Rfam family: 5.8S ribosomal RNA (bases 1-105)
Source: RNAcentral